ACCAGACUCCUACGGGAGGCAGCAGUGGGGAAUAUUGGUCAAUGGUCGGGAGACUGAACCAGCCAAGCCGCGUGAGGGAUGAAGGUACAGAGUAUCGUAAACCUCUUUUGUCAGGGAACAAAGGCGGGGACGUGUCCCCGGAUGAGUGUACCUGAAGAAAAAGCAUCGGCUAACUCCGUGCCAGCAGCCGCGGUAAUACGGAGGAUGCGAGCGUUAUCCGGAUUUAUUGGGUUUAAAGGGUGCGUAGGCGGGCUGUUAAGUCAGCGGUCAAAUGUCGGGGCUCAACCCCGUCGUGCCGUUGAAACUGGCGUUCUUGAGUGAGCGAGAAGUAUGCGGAAUGCGCGGUGUAGCGGUGAAAUGCAUAGAUAUCGCGCAGAACUCCGAUUGCGAAGGCAGCAUGCCGGCUCCACACUGACGCUGAGGCACGAAAGCGUGGGUAUCGAACAGGAUUAGAUACCCUCGUAGU
This 466-nucleotide ribosomal RNA is filed under the name uncultured bacterium. RNAcentral's name for it is "bacterial SSU rRNA". It matches the Rfam family "Bacterial small subunit ribosomal RNA", at positions 330 to 794 of the family's 1533-position model. The record is from RNAcentral.